CGGACGGGUGAGUAAUGUCUGGGAAACUGCCUGAUGAGGGGGGGUAACUACUGGAAACGGUAGCUAAUACCGCAUAACGUCUUCGGACCAAAGUGGGGGACCUUCGGGCCUCACGCCAUCGGAUGUGCCCAGAUGGGAUUAGCUAGUAGGUGGGGUAAUGGCUCACCUAGGCGACGAUCCCUAGCUGGUCUGAGAGGAUGACCAGCCACACUGGAACUGAGACACGGUCCAG
RNAcentral lists this ribosomal RNA (232 nucleotides) under uncultured bacterium. Its description in RNAcentral is "partial 16S ribosomal RNA". It matches the Rfam family "Bacterial small subunit ribosomal RNA", at positions 99 to 334 of the family's 1533-position model. The record is from RNAcentral.